Coffea arabica (coffee) is the source of this 2593-nucleotide non-coding RNA. Lineage: Eukaryota; Viridiplantae; Streptophyta; Magnoliopsida; Gentianales; Rubiaceae. The record is from RefSeq and is a predicted model, not a curated record.
CCUUCUUCACUCACCGACUCCCAGUCCCCUCACUCUCUCACUCCACUCUCUUUCUUCUCUCUCUAGGGUUUUUCCGAUUACCGAAGCGAGAGAAAUCGAGCAACCGCUAUGGCGUCGACCGCUGGGGUUUUCGGAAACCACUGCAGAGCACUCAUGGCAGCCGCUAAGACCUCCGUCGCCUUCACCACUUCUGGAUCCGCCGCUGCCAAAACUUCUGGCCGCAGAAAUGGCAUCCUGAAGAAGCAGCCUGUCUCCCCUGCUCUCCGCUAGUUCGAUAAAGGGCCAAUCUUUGCCGCAGUUUUGUUGGGAUGGCUUGGGUCGAAGCCGAAGCAUCUGAGGAGGUAUGGUGCCAUUCUUGACAAUUUACAAAGUAGGCCAGAUUUAUUUGAGAAAAUCAAGGGAAUUAUUGUUGAUUCAGGAGGUGACGCUAAUAUAGAUCCCAAGGUCUGGGCUGCUGGAUUUACUGUAGCCCUGCUAAAGAAAUACAGUUCAUCAUCUUAUCCAUCAGUUGAAACCGUAGGAAGAAAUCAAUUGGAAAGUGGAGUUGAUACCUCAAAGUUGCGAGAAAAGGAGCCCCUGUUCGUUGAGAUAAUUUUGGCCUAAUGUUACUCAAAAACUGCAAACUCUUGUUUCUGAAUAUUUCCAUUGAGAUAUGGUAUUUCAUUUUUGUCCAAUGGUAGCUGUUGGUACUCUUGGUUCUAUAAUUUAGCAAUGAGGCACGUAUCAUUCUCAAUAAGCUUUCCCAUCAUCUUUGUUAUAUAUAUAUAAAAAAAAACCUACCCAAACUGAUAGGGCAGCUUUGGUAGAGUAGCAGAUAGCAAAUAUCCCUAAAUUGAGCCAGUACCAUGAAUUUUGGGAAAAAGCCAGAAUUUGAAAACUGAAUCAGAAGGAAAACAAGACCUAAGGUUGUCACGGCAUAAUUUGAGGUAAAUAAUCUCAAUAUUUUCCAUUUAUUUUCAAACAUUUCUGUCUAAUUGCUGUUUGUUAAUGUCUUAUGCCCAUUAUGUGUUGGCUUAUUACAAUCUUUGCUUGGAUUUGAGUUUAGUGUUGGGUGCUGUAAAUAUCUGUUGUUUGUGUAAUGAAGGGAUUUUCCGAAGAGUUUUUAUUCUGUAAUUUUAGAUUUGAUAUUGGUUGGUUCCUGUUUAAAAGGAAAAUGAAGAACCCGUUUCUUGACUCGAUAUUUCUAUUCCUAUAAUGAGUUGGACAACAGUGGGUUGAGGCUGAUUUUUCUGUUGAACAUUUGAACCGACUGAUUUAAUUCAAGGACUUCUUCCCCAUUGCCCCAACUAUAAUGGUGGGUAGUGAUAAGAGAAAGAGUUUUUCAUAAGAGGACAUAUGCAAUAGACAUUUCUGAUGAUCAUUACAGUUUAUGUCUUCGGAAAUAGGCAAAAAAUGCAAUAUAGUUAUCCAAAAUAGUGAAUUUAUCCAAAAACAGAAUGAAUUUGUUUGAUCAGGCACAUGUGUACUAUGAAGCUUCAAACGACUGUGCAGCCUUUCUUGCUAACUAUGACAGGAAAGUAGAUGCCAACGUCGUCACAUUCAAGGGGAAUUCAUAUUUCCUUCCUGCUUGGUCUGUGAGCAUUCUUGCAGACUGCAAAAAUGUUGUUUUCAACACAGCAAAGAACAGCACUUAACUGGAAAAGCAGAGAGGCUAGCUAAUGCCUAAAAGGCCAGCAAUGGGAGAAAUUUUCAUUCAGAUAAGAGUUUUGCUCAAACUCAAUAUUCCAUUAAGGACAAUAUGGAACUCUAUUGAUCGAAACAACUAUCACAGUUCACUAAUUCGAUGAGUUUCUGUCAUUAUGAAACUGAAGUAUACAUAAAGGUGGAGAAAAUGAAGACGAUGGCACGAAAAUCUUUGUGACAGAACUUAUCAUGACAUAAACUUGACCUGUCUAAACCUCAAGUAAAAAUUUUCUCUUUACCCAUUUUUUCCUCACUCAAUCCAUUUUCCACUCCUAGUUAAAAAUCUGUCAGUACCAUGUCUUUCAGUCCAUUUUCCUCACUGAAUCUUAGAAGCUUUAUGCAUGUAGUUCAUUCUUUUUCUUAACUUUCUGUGCAACUGAUUUUGUUCCUGAUGGUAACAUAUCUACUCCCAUUAAACUGGUUGUUACACUUGGUGCAUUAUGUUUGGUGUUCUGUUUUCUGUAUAUUUCUUCACUAAUCAGCUUUUUCAUUGGAGCCUCAAUUGAAAAAUGGUUCUCAGCUUUUUCAUCGCCUUUUUUGCAGCUGCUUUACGCUGGACUCAAGAGACAAUUAGGCCUGUUUUUACCUUUGUUCUUCUAAUUUUUCAUUACUUUCAGUCUAGCUUCAUAUUGAUUGUGAGAAGACUGUUGGAUAUGCUGCUAGAGAUGAUUGAAAUAUAACAUUGGUGCUAUAGUCUAUGCUUUAGUUUAGAAAUCUAGUACUCUUAUCUUUUGGGAAGGAUAUGUAUUGGCCAUUACUACUUGAAUUGAUUAUGUGGGAUUUAGGGCCCAAUAUUUGUGGUUCACUUUUGUUUUGAUUAAUUUAUAGAUGUGUUAUGGCCAAAUAUAUGAAUUUGCGGCAUAUAUUCUAUGCUGAUUUUGCCUUUUGUCAAAUUGAAUGUUCUACUAUA